This 253-nucleotide ribosomal RNA is filed under the name uncultured bacterium. RNAcentral's name for it is "partial 16S ribosomal RNA". It matches the Rfam family "Bacterial small subunit ribosomal RNA", at positions 524 to 776 of the family's 1533-position model. The record is from RNAcentral.
UACAGAGGUCUCAAGCGUUGUUCGGAUUCAUUGGGCGUAAAGGGUGCGUAGGCGGGUCUUUAAGUCAGGGGUGAAAUCCUGGAGCUCAACUCCAGAACUGCCUUCGAUACUGGAGAGCUUGAGUCCGGGAGAGGUGAGUGGAACUGCGAGUGUAGAGGUGAAAUUCGUAGAUAUUCGCAAGAACACCAGUGGCGAAGGCGGCUCACUGGCCCGGUACUGACGCUGAGGCGCGAAAGCGUGGGGAGCAAACAGG